CACCUGCAACAGUUUCUACGAUUUUCUUUUCAAUCUGUACACGGCGUUCGAUAUAUGCUUCCGUAUCCGGUCAGCUGUAAUGGAUGCCGUAUGCCGAGCUUGCGAACUGCGAACUUGUGUGACUCCCGGUUCAUCCUCUUUGUUCGGGUCAUUGGGUUGGUGUUGGUCACCAUAUUCUGAACGUUUCACCUAUCGUUGCGGUGUACUGUUCUUGAUCUGCUGCGAAGCGACGAACCGCAACGGCAGUCACUCGCCUCAGCGAACUUCUGUCUGCUGCAUCUCAAAGGAGCAUGGGGACCUGAUAAUACCUUCAACUAAAGAAACCAAAUGUGCUCUCGUGUGGUCCUGACGGAAAAGUAGUAUCAACAAGAACCCUCCACUUUUUCGACCAAGUUAUCGUUAUGAGAUCCUUCUGAUGGCUUCUUACUAGGCUAUGCCGCUCCGAAGCAUUGAGAUGACGAAGCGUCGUGGUAGCUGCACCUCUGCCUUCGAAAGAUGAAUCAGUCAUUCCACACUGUGCUUACUGGCUUUGUGUAGAGUCUGGCAAAUCCGACAGACUUGGACUGCCUUUUUCAAGAAAGUUUGAAAUAGCAUCCCUUAUGCACCUGCAUUUCAAUUCCAAUCUGUAUUACAAGAAUGACAGACCACUCAACAGAGAUGAACAUCUGAAAGUGAAAGAGCUGGAAUGAAGAUACGUUAAUCUGUGUCAAAGGUUCUUGGUAUGUGUGCGAGUCGAGGACAUAGGUCUCAAGCUUAUUCCUGUCUUCAGAAGAGGUGACAACUAUGCUCCUUCUAUCUAUUAACCAGCUCCACUUUUUAGGGUUCCCUGUAAACUAAUGGAGCACAUCAUGUACUACCACGUUGUCAACUAAGUUGACUCUGUCAAUUUCUUUUUUUAAAUUCCAGCAUGGCUUUAGAAAAGGGUAUUCAGGCAAAACUAACGUAGUGGAAUUCGUUCACAGCAUUUCAAACUGUCUUGAUUUCUGGGUCCAUGUAGAUGUAGUAUUCUUUUUAUUUUGUAAGGGCUUUUGACACUGUGCUCUACGCUCGCGUGUUGGCCAAAGUAGCCUAAUUAAAAUUUGAUCCUGCUACCUGGAUAUGCAGUUUCUCAACUAACCGUAACUGUGGCGACAACUCGUGAGGAGAACCUAUCAUAUCGCCACCAUGCAGCAUUUGUUAUAUUACAAUCGCUUCACAUUUUAAUCUAGUCAAAAGCAAGGCCUUUUGGUGAUCGGUCUUGUAUAAUUACAUGCCCAUCCGUUAUGUAACACCACACUGGGUUCUUCAACCUAUGAGAGAGAAAUAAAUAUAUUGCCAAGUAAAUUGUCUACAAGGCUCGUUAUUCCAUUUCGCCACACUACCACAAGCAAUUGUUAGAGUAGUGGCCCAGGGUAUGAAGCUCGCCACUAAUCAUCAUUCAAACAAAGUUCAUAAUGUAAAA
Molecule: long non-coding RNA, 1441 nt
Organism: Ornithodoros turicata
Lineage: Eukaryota; Metazoa; Arthropoda; Arachnida; Ixodida; Argasidae
Exons: 3
Source: RefSeq, a predicted model, not a curated record